CAGACGCGCUUUGCAAUAUUCAACCCCAUACUUCACGGAGCACGCCUAUUCCAGCAGUGGGAUGUCGACAUGUUCAUCAAGAUUGAGGGUUGUAGGCUGAAGUGGAUCAGGGACCACUAGACGCAGAUACGUGUCGAUCUAUACCAAGGCCUUGUGGAUAGCAUCGCAGUUGGGGAGAUGCAAGCGAGCGCUAUUGGCAAGAGGAUCGUGCUCCUAGGGACACAUCAGGGAUGCGGCCGAGACAUGAAGCAGAGGCAUAUGGAUGCCAUGGCAUUGGUGCAGACGUAUGGGAAGCCUGACAUCUUUUUGACUAUGACAUGCAACCCUAGCUAG
This 333-nucleotide ribosomal RNA is filed under the name Triticum aestivum (bread wheat). Its description in RNAcentral is "partial small subunit ribosomal RNA". The record is from RNAcentral. Lineage: Eukaryota; Viridiplantae; Streptophyta; Magnoliopsida; Poales; Poaceae.